GAUGAACGUUGGCGGUACGCCUAAUACAUGCAAGUCGAACGGAGAUUGUAGCAAUACGGUCUUAGUGGCGAACGGGUGAGUAACGCGUUGGUGAUCUGCCUUGAAGUGUGGAAUAACGGUUCGAAAGAACCGCUAAUACCGCAUGGUCUCUCUUUUUUUAGAAAUUAGAGAGUAAAGGAUUUAUCCGCUUCAAGAGGAGCCUGCGUCCCAUCAGCUAGUUGGUAGGGUAAAAGCCUACCAAGGCUAUGACGGGUAGGGGACCUGAGAGGGUGACCCCCCACAAUGGAACUGAAACACGGUCCAUACACCUACGGGUGGCAGCAGUAGGGAAUAUUAGUAAUGGAGGAAACUCUGAACUAGCGAUACCGCGUGUGCGAAGAAGGCCUUCGGGUUGUAAAGCACUUUUUGAGAGGAUGAGGAAGGACGGUACUCUCAGAAUAAGUCUCGGCUAACUACGGCACGCAGACGCGGUAAACGGUAACGUACGUACGUCUCGUAGCGGCGGCGGUCGACGACGGCGACAGUAG
This 527-nucleotide ribosomal RNA is filed under the name uncultured bacterium. RNAcentral's name for it is "bacterial SSU rRNA". It matches the Rfam family "Bacterial small subunit ribosomal RNA", at positions 33 to 541 of the family's 1533-position model. The record is from RNAcentral.